Aphis gossypii (cotton aphid) is the source of this 397-nucleotide long non-coding RNA. RefSeq lists it as uncharacterized. The record is from RefSeq and is a predicted model, not a curated record. The transcript is spliced from 2 exons. NCBI's taxonomy places the organism in Eukaryota, Metazoa, Arthropoda, Insecta, Hemiptera, Aphididae.
UACUUCUUACUACCAUACAAAUGUAUAAUAGACACAAAUAUGCGCCAUCGUUAGGUUAGGUAUGUCGUUGAAAAAUGUUCAGAAAUUAAUUGAUCAUUCAGUUUAUCGAAAAUUAUUCCCGAUUUUGAAGAAGCUAUGCAUGUCGGUGCAAAAAAAUAUAGCCAGAAUUACAGAUCGUUGGAUGCCGAUUUCAUUUGACAUAAAAUUGGUGGAAACACAUUCAAAGUCUUGGAUUACCAAAAUAAUACAAAUAUGAAUCAAGUGAAAUAGGUAAUUUGCUAAAAUGCGGGUAUUCGACUCAACCAUUAUUGAAUCAGGAAGAAGUAAGCGAUUGCUUUACGACAGAUUUGAUGUCAUUUUGUUCAGACGAUGAAAGAGUAAUAAAGUUCUGCAAUUA